This 58-nucleotide microRNA precursor is filed under the name Dasypus novemcinctus (nine-banded armadillo). RNAcentral describes it as "microRNA dno-mir-106a precursor". Its record names the gene dno-mir-106a. It matches the Rfam family "mir-17 microRNA precursor family", at positions 11 to 70 of the family's 80-position model. From Rfam's summary of the family: This family represents the microRNA (miRNA) precursor mir-17, family, which includes mir-20, mir-91, and mir-103. miRNAs are transcribed as ~70nt precursors (modelled here) and subsequently processed by the Dicer enzyme to give a ~22nt product. In this case the mature sequence comes from the 3' arm of the precursor. The extents of the hairpin precursors are not generally known and are estimated based on hairpin prediction. Lineage: Eukaryota; Metazoa; Chordata; Mammalia; Cingulata; Dasypodidae. The record is from miRBase by way of RNAcentral.
AAAAGUGCUUGCAGUGCAGGUAGUUUUUGAGAUCUACUGCAAUGCAAGCACUUCUUAC